Long non-coding RNA from Ictalurus punctatus (channel catfish), 615 nucleotides. RefSeq lists it as uncharacterized. The transcript is spliced from 5 exons. Lineage: Eukaryota; Metazoa; Chordata; Actinopteri; Siluriformes; Ictaluridae. The record is from RefSeq and is a predicted model, not a curated record.
UAUCCCCUGAUCGUUAGUCUCUCAGAGAUCCAGCCAAUUUCUGUGAGCUCAGCCAACUGAGCUGCAAAUCCAGCAAGCAGGUGAUGAGUUCGGCCACAGGUGGCGCUCUCUCAGAACCUAUUAUUAACCCUUUCCACUGUCCUCUGAGGACGUGUGUAGGAGACAAUCUGAAACAGUGAAGGAAUGAACAAUCUAAUUUGAACAAGCAUGUGGAGGUCUUCAUGAUAUACACAUCCACCUCAACACUACCAUGGGAGCUUGGUUUCACUGAUGUCACCUUCCCUGUCAGCACUGAGAGAAGAGCAGGCAAAAGCUUCCAACCCUCCACAUGUGGCUUUCCCCCGCUGAAGAAAGCCAGAAAGCCACGCCCUCCCCUGCCCGAGUCAGACACCAUUUCCAGCAUCAUGAGGUUGGAGGUGGAGAUAAGAGCCCCAGGUCGGAAAGUUCCACAGAAGCGGCCCAGCUUCUGCACAGUGACAAACGAACUGUGACGAGAGACGUGCUAACGGAAAAGCCCAGAGCAGACUCCUUGAUGGAAACUUACGGAUAUAUUGAUGGCACGUGGCAGGCGUCCUGUGCGGAUCCAGGGGUGAACCCGACUCAGCUCCCGCUUCU